CCUCAAUCCCAAGAAAAAAAAAUGUGAAAACCCAAAUAAUAAUAAUAAUAAUAUAAUAAAAUAAAAACAAAAUCUUCUAGUAAGCAUUUGUUGCAACUUCAGAGGAUUUUACUCUUUCAUAUGGAUUUAUUGAUAUAUUUUCCUUGUGGGUAGCUUCAACUUUAUCUUCAUCAAUGCCAGAAACUAUAACGGGCAUGAAAGAUUUGCACCUAUUAUCAUUUGUUCAACUUGGCGAUGAAGGUGCCAAGCUUGUUACAUCCGAGUUAGAUUUUGCGUGCAUCAUAUUUACUGUAGGUGUGUGAAUAAAUGUGUUAUCUUCGGAGAUUUUGGCGAAAGAUGCUGAAUUUGAUUGGACCCAGUUGGAAAUUCUGAAGCUUUGUUGGAUUUUAAUCUGGGUGUGAUGGAUUGCUUGAGUUUUAAGGAAAUGGGUCAUGGUAAAACAAUAACAGAGAGAAAUGCCAGAAUUAGAAAGAAGGCAAAGAGCAAACUGAGCAAAUGGAACAGAAAGCUUGUGCCUUUGGGUUCAGAAACUGAGGAGAAAUCUGAUGGAACUGGAUUGGACCCAGUUGGAAAUUUUGAAGCUUUAUUGAAAUUUUAAUUUGGGUUUGGUUGGGAAGAGAGAGAAUAGGUGUUUUUUUUUUUUCCUUAAGCAAGUCAUUUUGCAAAUGAGUAAAUUUAUUUUUAAAAUAGAAUAGACGUGUGGAAAUUGCACCACUCAAAUAAUAUUGGUG
RNAcentral lists this long non-coding RNA (731 nucleotides) under Prunus dulcis (almond). RNAcentral describes it as "sRNA ncRNA". Lineage: Eukaryota; Viridiplantae; Streptophyta; Magnoliopsida; Rosales; Rosaceae. The record is from RNAcentral.